GGUUCCUUAGAUCGUACAUGCUACAUGGAUAACUGUAGUAAUUCUAGAGCUAAUACAUGCCACUAUGCCCUGACCCGAAAGGGAACGGGUGGAUUUAUUAGAACAGAACCAACCGGGAGCGGCUUCGGUCGUUCCUGUUGCACUCUGUGAUGACUCUGGAUAACUUUACUGAUCGCAGUCGGCCUUGUGUCGGCGACGGAUCUUUCAAAUGUCUGCCCUAUCAACUUUCGAUGGUAGGUGAUCUGCCUACCAUGGUGAUAACGGGUAACGGGGAAUCAGGGUUCGAUUCCGGAGAGGGAGCCUGAGAAACGGCUACCACAUCCAAGGAAGGCAGCAGGCGCGAAAAUUACCCACUCCCGGCACGGGGAGGUAGUGACGAAAAAUACGAAUACGGGACUCACUCGAGGCUCCGUAAUUCGAAUGAGUACAAUCUAAAUCCUUUAACGAGGACCAAUUGGAGGGCAAGUCUGGUGCCAGCAGCCGCGGUAACUCCAGCUCCAAAAGCGUAUAUUAAAGUUGCUGCAGUUAAAAAGCUCGUAGUUGGAUCUGGGUCGUGCGUUCACGUGUCGUUGCGUGGUUCUGAUUUCGGUCAGUUCUAUGUGAUGAUGAGGUGGUCGUGCAGCCUUUCAGCCGUGUCUGCGUGAGCAGGUGUUGGCUAGUCGGUGGGCUUGCUUGCUGGCUAGUUGGCAUGUUUC
This 695-nucleotide ribosomal RNA is filed under the name Strigea strigis. Its description in RNAcentral is "SSU rRNA". It matches the Rfam family "Eukaryotic small subunit ribosomal RNA", at positions 114 to 755 of the family's 1831-position model. The record is from RNAcentral. Lineage: Eukaryota; Metazoa; Platyhelminthes; Trematoda; Diplostomida; Strigeidae.